GCGGAUGAGUAAGCGUUUUGUGAAAUCCCUCGGCUUAACCGGGGAAUUGCUUGGCGAACUGCUCAUCUUGAGGCAAAUAGGGGUGCAUGGAACUCUUGGUGGAGCGGUGGAAUGCGUAGAUAUCAAGAGGAACGCCAGCGGCGAAAGCGGUGCACUGGAUUUGUCCUGACGCUGAGAUACGAAAGCGUGGGGAGCAAACGGGAUUAGAUACCCCGGUAGUCCACGCCCUAAACGAUGCCUACUAGGUUGUAGAAGCUCUGACGCUUUUACGGCCGAAGCAAAAGUGUUAAGUAGGCCGCCUGGGAAGUACGGUCGCAAGGCUAAAACUCAAAGGAAUUGACGGGGGCUCACACAAGCGGUGGAGUAUGUGGAUUAAUUCGAAGCAACGCGCAGAACCUUACCUGGGUUUGACAUGGUUGGAUGGCUUACUGGAAACAGUGUAGUCUGCCCGCAAGGGUGAAACUUCCACAGGUGCUGCAUGGCUGUCGUCAGCUCGUGUCGUGAGAUGUCGGGUUAAGUCCCUUAACGAGCGAAACCCUUGUCAUUAGUUACCAUCAGUUCAGCUGGGGACUCUAAUGAGACUGCCGGUGUUAAACCGGAGGAAGGUGGGGAUGACGUCAAGUCCUCAUGGCCUUUAUGCCCAGGGCCUCACACGUACUACAAUGGCGGCCACAAAGCGAUGCAAGACCGUAAGGUGGAGCAAAUCGCAGAAAGGUCGCCUCAGUUCAGAUUGCAGGCUGCAAUUCGCCUGCAUGAAGUUGGAAUCGCUAGUAAUCGCGGAUCAGCUACGCCGCGGUGAAUGUGUUCCUGAGCCUUGUA
RNAcentral lists this ribosomal RNA (819 nucleotides) under uncultured Planctomycetota bacterium. Its description in RNAcentral is "bacterial SSU rRNA". It matches the Rfam family "Bacterial small subunit ribosomal RNA", at positions 575 to 1385 of the family's 1533-position model. Lineage: Bacteria; Pseudomonadati; Planctomycetota. The record is from RNAcentral.